This 502-nucleotide ribosomal RNA is filed under the name uncultured bacterium. RNAcentral's name for it is "bacterial SSU rRNA". It matches the Rfam family "Bacterial small subunit ribosomal RNA", at positions 32 to 518 of the family's 1533-position model. The record is from RNAcentral.
AACGCUAGCGACAGGCUUAACACAUGCAAGUCGAGGGGUAACAGGGUAGCAAUACCGCUGACGACCGGCGCACGGGUGAGUAACGCGUAUGCAACCUGCCCUAGUAACUGGGGGAAUACGCUCCCGUGAAAGGGGGAAUUAACACCGCAUAACACUAUUGAUUCGCAUGGAUUAGUAGUUAAAUGUAGCGAUACAGGUUAUAGAUGGGCAUGCGUGACAUUAGCUAGUUGGUGAGGUAACGGCUCACCAAGGCUACGAUGUCUAGGGGUUCUGAGAGGAAGGUCCCCCCACACUGGUACUGAGACACGGACCAGACUCCUACGGGAGGCAGCAGUGAGGAAUAUUGGUCAAUGGGCGCAAGCCUGAACCAGCCAUGUCGCGUGCAGGAAGAACCUGCCCUAUGGGUUGUAAACUGCUUUUAUAGUAGAAGAAACACAUCUACGUGUAGAUGUCUGCCAGUAUACUAUGAAUAAGCAUCGGCUAACUCCGUGCCAGCCGCCGC